This 906-nucleotide long non-coding RNA is filed under the name Homo sapiens (human). RNAcentral describes it as "non-protein coding lnc-PKIG-5:1". Lineage: Eukaryota; Metazoa; Chordata; Mammalia; Primates; Hominidae. The record is from RNAcentral.
GCAUUUCCUGGAAUUCUGGACCCGGCGUCCUCGCCCGCCGACCCGAAAACUACGGCCCCGCGGCGCCCGACCGGACCCACCUGUGGGCGCGCGCUCCAGCCGCCUCGCUGGGCGCUGCCUUCCCCCCGGCUCCUCCAGCAACUUUCAAGCGUCCCCCUGCAGUCUGGGCGCUGCUGUGCGCCAGGCCCAAGCUAGAAGCGGGGACCCCGGGAGCAUCGCAAGCCUCGAGCGGCGUGCCUUCCACCGGAUAGACGGACGCUCGUCGCAGAAACACACACCAUAAUUGUAUAGUUAAGGAACUUUCGAGGGGGGCCAGCCGUGGCCUGCAGAACCUGCAGGAGUUCAUCAGGGGUGGGUGGGGGUGGAGAGGACAUUCUACGUGAGAGACUCCAGGGAGCUGGGAGUGAAAGGAGGCGAGGAAGGCUGGAGCUCGGAGGGAGGGAGAACACAGACAGUCCCCUCCUGGGCAUUCACCUUUAAGAAACCCGCCCAGGCGCAGCCAGAGACCUGUGCAGAAUGUUCACACCAGCGCUAUUCCGAAUAACAGGAACAUUGGAAACACCCUCAAAUGCCCCUCCACGGGCGAGUGGGCAAAUAAACCGGAAUAUUCACACCAUGAAACGUUAGACAGCAGUGAAACGGAAUGAACUUCAGCCAGACAACAACAGAAACAAUGUCUCAGAAACAAUGUUGAGUGAAAAAAACUAAGUUGCGGAAAACUGCAUACAAUGGUGCAACUUUUAGAAUGUGUAAAAGCAAAACCAAAAGUAUGUAUGUUUAGACACAUGCAUCGGUGGAAAAAAUGUAAAGCAAGGGAAAGAUGAGCAUAGAUACGAGAAGAGUGGUUAUCUCAGGUGAAAGGGAAGGAGCCGGGAGGAGGUAAGGACGGAGGGAAAUAACACGCGG